RNAcentral lists this ribosomal RNA (478 nucleotides) under uncultured bacterium. RNAcentral describes it as "partial 16S ribosomal RNA". It matches the Rfam family "Bacterial small subunit ribosomal RNA", at positions 28 to 507 of the family's 1533-position model. The record is from RNAcentral.
GACGAACGCUGGCGGCGUGCUUAACACAUGCAAGUCGAACGGGAUUUAGUAAACAGAAACCUCGGUGGAAGAUUACUAAUGAGAGUGGCGAACGGGUGAGUAACGCGUGAGCAACCUGCCUAUGACAGUGGGAUAGCCUCGGGAAACCGGGAUUAAUACCGCAUAAAAUCGUAGAAACACAUGUUUUAACGGUCAAAGAUUUAUCGGUCAUAGAUGGGCUCGCGUCUGAUUAGCUAGUUGGUGAGAUAACAGCCCACCAAGGCGACGAUCAGUAGCCGGUCUGAGAGGAUGAACGGCCACAUUGGAACUGAGACACGGUCCAAACUCCUACGGGAGGCAGCAGUGGGGAAUAUUGCACAAUGGGGGAAACCCUGAUGCAGCGACGCCGCGUGAACGAAGAAGGUAUUCGUAUCGUAAAGUUCUGUCCUAUGGGAAGAUAAUGACAGUACCUUAGAAGAAAGCUCCGGCUAAAUACGUG